AGAAGAAAGAGGAGAGAGGAAAGAAAGCUUUAAGGCACAAAUGGCGCAUAAACAUAAAAGUAGAAGAAGCGAUUAGAGCCAAAUUGCGCGUUUCGCCUGCGAAUCUAUCAGCGCAAAUCGCCGUUACUGGGAGAAGUGGGUAUUGGAGUGGAGAGCUGAGUGAGCGAGCGAAUGGGAGAAAUGGUUCAAAUAAGAUCCAGAACGAGAGGAAAUAAAUAAAUGAAUAAAAAAAAACAAAGACACCCGUACGGAAUCGCCUUUUUUUCCUCCGGGUCUCCGGGGCUGUGCGGCGACAGACGCCCGACAAAAAGCAGCUUCUCCCCGACUGUCACAACCCCGCAGGACGCCUCUACAGGACACCGCGGAGGGAGACGGCGAGCAGAGCGCAGGGAGGCGUGUGUCUGCGUGUGUGUGAGAAAAAUGUAAGUCGAAGUUUCGGAGCUCCCAAACUCUGGCGCGAGCGCGUGGAAGUUGUAAUAUCCGACACAAUUUGUCCGCGAGACAGCGAGCGACAGCGCGAGAGCGACAGAGAGAGAGAGAAGGAGAGAGAGCGCGAGAGAAGAGGAAUAUAAAAGAAAAAAAAGAGUGGAAAUGAUAGAAAAGUAAGGAUGCACAUACCUGCUCGGCUCUGUUUUUUUUCUCUUUUGGGUUUUAAUUUUUGUUGUUUUGUUCUUUUUUUUGCUUUUUUUAAAUGGAGGGUCCAGAGGCUUCUUUUUGCGGGGAAGAGGAGCUGCGAGGACGGGCUGAUAGCGGGAGCUUGGCGGCGAGAGAGGAGAAGCCCCCUGAAACGCACGCCACCUAUCUUCACGGGAGGGGAUAAUUGAGGAGAGCCAAACGUGAGCAUCUUUCUGGGCUCAAGUUUUUUUUUCCCCCUCUCUCUCUCUCUCUCUCUCUCUCCACCCUCCCUCCCUCUCUCUCUUCUUCUUCGUCUUCUUUUUUUCCCUUUUUUCUUCUUCUUAUUUUUUUGGAGCGUGAAACCAACUAUGUCGGGCUUCGACACGGAGUAAGAACCAGGCGACAGAUGAUGUCGAAGGAGGAAGACAAGGAACCUGAGCAUGACGAGGACCAGCGAAGCUGCUUCGCCCCCCGUUGCUGUUGCUGCUCAGGGUCCAGAGUGGUUCUGGUUCCGGGUGAAUUGUUGUCACGUGUAAUUUGCUACCACGGUGUAAACCAAGCAGUCACGCCAUAAUCCCCCCACCCCCUUUUUCCUCCUCUUUCACUCUCUCUCUUACACACACACACACACUUGAACCACAGCUCCAACUCUGCCCCCACUGAGUGGCACCUCUCCCACACCCCCACCCCUCCAUCGUCCGUGGGGCCACCACAUAUUCACCGUGAAAACGGAUUACAGUCGGUGUGUGACCUAUAGGGGGACCUUGUGCUUAAUGAAUAUAUUGGUUUCAAUGAAGGGAGGGGAGGGGAAGGGGGGGGUACCCAAAACAACACAUGCAUGAUUCAUCAUUUUGUGUGUGUGCGCAUUACCUGCAGAAUAAAAAGUGUGAGAUAACUGUGCAGGUUUGAAGUGAAAAUGAUCAAAACGUGUGUUUUUUUUAUGGCUUUUUUUUUUCUUUUCCUGAAAUAAAAACCAGAACAUUUCGC
Molecule: non-coding RNA, 1602 nt
Organism: Neolamprologus brichardi
Lineage: Eukaryota; Metazoa; Chordata; Actinopteri; Cichliformes; Cichlidae
Source: RefSeq, a predicted model, not a curated record